This 410-nucleotide ribosomal RNA is filed under the name uncultured bacterium. RNAcentral describes it as "bacterial SSU rRNA". It matches the Rfam family "Bacterial small subunit ribosomal RNA", at positions 73 to 512 of the family's 1533-position model. The record is from RNAcentral.
UAUGUAGCAAUACAUAUGGGUGGCGAGUGGCGGACGGGUGAGUAACGCGUGGGAAUCUGCCCAAUAGUGGGGGACAACCCGACGAAAGUCGGGCUAAUACCGCAUACGCCCUACGGGGGAAAGGCUUCGGCCGCUAUUGGAUGAGCCCGCGUCCGAUUAGCUAGUUGGUGAGGUAAUGGCUCACCAAGGCGACGAUCGGUAGCUGGUCUGAGAGGACGAUCAGCCACACUGGGACUGAGACACGGCCCAGACUCCUACGGGAGGCAGCAGUGGGGAAUAUUGCACAAUGGGCGAAAGCCUGAUGCAGCAAUGCCGCGUGUGUGAAGAAGGCCUGCGGGUUGUAAAGCACUUUCGGUAGGGAAGAUAAUGACGGUACCUACAGAAGAAGCACCGGCUAACUCCGUGCCAGC